AGGGUAAUAGCUCAGUGGUAGAGUUUAUGCUCAGCAUGCACCAGGUCCUGGGUUCAAUUCCCAGUGCCUCCA
RNAcentral lists this transfer RNA (72 nucleotides) under Camelus bactrianus (Bactrian camel). It matches the Rfam family "tRNA". From Rfam's summary of the family: Transfer RNA (tRNA) molecules are approximately 80 nucleotides in length. The record is from Rfam by way of RNAcentral. Lineage: Eukaryota; Metazoa; Chordata; Mammalia; Artiodactyla; Camelidae. RNAcentral also lists the same sequence under 3 other names.